This 1449-nucleotide ribosomal RNA is filed under the name metagenome. Its description in RNAcentral is "bacterial SSU rRNA". It matches the Rfam family "Archaeal small subunit ribosomal RNA". The record is from RNAcentral.
AGCUGAUCCUGCUGGAGGAUACUGCUAUCGAAGUUCGACUAAGCCAUGCAAGUCCGAGAGCCCAACUAUGAGGGUAUCUGGCACACGGCUCAGUAACACGUAGUCAACCUACCCUAAAGAGAAGUAAAUCACGGGAAACUGUGUAUAAUGCUUCAUAGGCAAAAAUAACUGGAAUGUUUUUUUGCUAAAAAGAUAUUACUCAUGUGUAAUGAUCGCUUUAGGAUGGGACAGCGGCAGAUUAGGUUGUUGGCGGGGUAACGGCCCACCAAGCCGAAGAUCUGUACGGGCCUUGAGAGAGGGAGCCCGGAGAAGGGUACUGAGAUAAGGACCCUAGCCUUACGGGGUGCAGCAGGCGCGAAACCUCUACAAUGCGCGAAAGUGUGAUAGGGGGACUUCGAGUGCUAUUUAUAGCUUUUGUUAACUGUAAAAAGGUAGACGAAUAAAUGGGGGGCAAGAUACGUGCCAGCCGCCGCGGUAAUACGUACCCCAUAAGUGGUAUCCAGCAUUAUUGGGCCUAAAGCGUUCGUAGCCUGUUAAGUAAGUCUUUUGUGAAAUCAAUCAGCUUAACUGAUUGAAUUGCCAAAGAUACUGCUUGACUCGAGGCCGGAAGAAGUCAAGGGAAUUCCUGAGGUAGCAGUGAAAUGCAGUGAUGUCAGGAGGACCCCCAGUAGCGAAGGCGCUUGACUAGAACGGACCUGACGGUGAGGGACGAAAACUGAGGGAGCGACCCGGAUUAGAUACCCGGUUGGUCUCAGUCGUAAACGAUGUGGACUAGGUGUGCUAGCACUCACGAAGUGUAGGCGUGCCGAAGAGAAGUCAUUAAGUCCACCGCCUGGGUAGUACAAUCGCAAGGUUGAAACUUAAUGGAAUUGGCGGGGGCGCACUACAAGGGGUGGAUGCUGCGGUUCAAUUGGAUAAAACGCCAGACAACUCACCAGGGGCGACAGCAGAAUGAUGGUCAACCUGAAGGGCUUACCUGACACGCUGAGAGGUGUUGUAUGGUCAUCGUCGGCUCGUACUAUGAAGCGUCCUGUUAACUCAGGCAACGGGCGAGACCCACAUCAUUAGUUGCUAUCUUUUCCCACGGGAAGAGAGCACUCUAGUGAGACUGCAAAGGUAACUUCGAGGAAGGAGUGGUCAACGGUAGAUCUGUAUGGCCCGAAUCUCCUGGGCUACACGCGGCAUACAAUGGUUAAGACAAUGGGAUCCAAUCCCGAAAGGGCUAGGUAAUCUCCUAACCUUAACCUCAGUUCGAAUCGAGGGUUGUAACUCACUCUCGUGAACGCCUGGAAUCCCCAGUAAUCGCGCGUCAACAUCGCGCGGUGAAUAAGUCCCUGCGCCUUGCACACACCGCCCAUCAAGCCAGCUGAAUGGAGCUUGGAUGAGCUAUAGUCCUUUGGGCUAUAUCGAUUCUGAGUUCUGUAAGGCGGGCUAAGUUGUAACAAGGUG